This 1156-nucleotide ribosomal RNA is filed under the name Paltothemis lineatipes. RNAcentral's name for it is "partial 16S ribosomal RNA". Lineage: Eukaryota; Metazoa; Arthropoda; Insecta; Odonata; Libellulidae. The record is from RNAcentral.
AUAAUUACAAUCUUAUUUAUUAUUUAUUUUUUUUUGUUUUGAGAAAUAUCUUUUUAUUUAGUAUAUUAUAGAAAAAUUGUUUACAUUAUAGUUUAAUAGUACUGUGAAGGAAUGGAUGAAAUAUUUAAAAAUUUAUUUUAGUAAAAGAAUACUUUACUUGUAGUACCUUUUGUAUCAGGGUUAAUUUAUUAAUUUGAAUUUAUAUUUUUUUCUCGAUUUCAAAAGAGCUAAUUUAUUAUUUUAUUUAUUGUAGCAUAAAUAUUAAUAAUAUAAUUUAGAAAAGAAAUUUUAUUCGAUUUUGAGGGUAUCGAGUUUUUUAUGAAAUGAAUUUAAUUUAGCUUAUUUAAUUAAGGUUUUAUUAAUUUAUUACUUAUUUAAAUAAAGUAAAAUUGUAGGGGAUAAGCUCUAUAUUUUUCUAUAAUUUUUUUAUUAAGAAAAUUAUGUUGGAUUAAUAUUGUCCAUCAUUAAUAAGUUUUUUAUAAUUUAUUUUUUACAUUAUUAAAUUUUGUGAUUUUUAGAUUUUUAAUGAAAUAUUUUAAUUAAUUUAUUACUGAAAGUAAUAAUGAUUAAAUUAGUAUAAUUUUAUGUAUUAUAUUUUAAUACUGUAAUGAUAAAAUAAGGAACUCGGCAAAUAAAGUUCUCGCCUGUUUAACAAAAACAUGUCCUUUUGAAUUUAAUUGAAGGUCUGACCUGCCCAGUGAUUAAUUUAACGGCCGCGGUAUAUUGACCGUGCAAAGGUAGCAUAAUCAUUAGUCUUUUAAUAGAGGGCUGGAAUGAAUGGUUUGACGAAGAAUUGACUGUCUCAUUUUAUUUGUUUUAAAAUUUAAUUUUUUAGUUAAAAAGCUAAAAUAAUAUUGGAAGACGAGAAGACCCUAUAGAUCUUUAUACAUUUUGUUUUAUUUACUUAUAUAAAUUUAUUUAAUUUAAAAUGUAUUUUGUUGGGGUGACAAAAAUAUAUGCAAAACUUUUUUAUUUAUAUAACAUUGAUUUAUGAUUAGACGAUCCAUUAUUAUUGAUUAAUAGAUUAAGUUACCUUAGGGAUAACAGCGUAAUCCUCUUCCAGAGUUCAUAUUUACAAGAGGGCUUGCGACCUCGAUGUUGGAUUAAGAUAAUAGUUAGGUGCAGCCACUUAAUUUAUAGGUCUGUUCGACCUUUA